RNAcentral lists this ribosomal RNA (274 nucleotides) under uncultured bacterium. RNAcentral describes it as "partial 16S ribosomal RNA". It matches the Rfam family "Bacterial small subunit ribosomal RNA", at positions 523 to 796 of the family's 1533-position model. The record is from RNAcentral.
AUACGGAGGGUGCAAGCGUUAAUCGGAAUUACUGGGCGUAAAGCGUACGUAGGCGGUUCGUUAAGUUAGAUGUGAAAGCCCCGGGCUUAACCUGGGAACUGCAUUUAAAACUGGCAAACUAGAGUUGAGUAGAGGGGAGUGGAAUUUCAGGUGUAGCGGUGAAAUGCGUAGAGAUCUGAAGGAACACCAGUGGCGAAGGCGACUCCCUGGACUCGAACUGACGCUGAGGUACGAAAGCGUGGGUAGCAAACGGGAUUAGAAACCCUUGUAGUCC